Molecule: ribosomal RNA, 618 nt
Filed under: Streptomyces lanatus
Lineage: Bacteria; Bacillati; Actinomycetota; Actinomycetes; Kitasatosporales; Streptomycetaceae
Description: bacterial SSU rRNA
Rfam family: Bacterial small subunit ribosomal RNA
Source: RNAcentral
UAACACUGCGGAUCGCAUGGUCUGCGGUUAAAAGCUCCGGCGGUGAAGGAUGAGCCCGCGGCCUAUCAGCUUGUUGGUGAGGUAAUGGCUCACCAAGGCGACGACGGGUAGCCGGCCUGAGAGGGCGACCGGCCACACUGGGACUGAGACACGGCCCAGACUCCUACGGGAGGCAGCAGUGGGGAAUAUUGCACAAUGGGCGAAAGCCUGAUGCAGCGACGCCGCGUGAGGGAUGACGGCCUUCGGGUUGUAAACCUCUUUCAGCAGGGAAGAAGCGAAAGUGACGGUACCUGCAGAAGAAGCGCCGGCUAACUACGUGCCAGCAGCCGCGGUAAUACGUAGGGCGCAAGCGUUGUCCGGAAUUAUUGGGCGUAAAGAGCUCGUAGGCGGCUUGUCACGUCGAUUGUGAAAGCCCGAGGCUUAACCUCGGGUCUGCAGUCGAUACGGGCUAGCUAGAGUGUGGUAGGGGAGAUCGGAAUUCCUGGUGUAGCGGUGAAAUGCGCAGAUAUCAGGAGGAACACCGGUGGCGAAGGCGGAUCUCUGGGCCAUUACUGACGCUGAGGAGCGAAAGCGUGGGGAGCGAACAGGAUUAGAUACCCUGGUAGUCCACGCCGUAAA